GACGAACGCUGACGGCGUGCUUAACACAUGCAAGUCGAACGGUGAACCUCUUCGGAGGGGAUCAGUGGCGAACGGGUGAGUAACACGUGGGCAACCUGCCCCCGGCUCUGGGAUAACUCCAAGAAAUUGGGGCUAAUACCGGAUGUUCACCGCUUCCCGCAUGGGUGGUGGUGGAAAGGGUUUCCGGCUGGGGAUGGGCCCGCGGCCUAUCAGCUUGUUGGUGGGGUAGUGGCCUACCAAGGCGACGACGGGUAGCCGGCCUGAGAGGGUGACCGGCCACACUGGGACUGAGACACGGCCCAGACUCCUACGGGAGGCAGCAGUGGGGAAUAUUGCGCAAUGGGCGGAAGCCUGACGCAGCGACGCCGCGUGGGGGAUGACGGCCUUCGGGUUGUAAACCUCUUUCAGCAGGGACGAAGCGCAAGUGACGGUACCUGCAGAAGAAGCACCGGCCAACUACGUG
This 463-nucleotide ribosomal RNA is filed under the name uncultured bacterium. Its description in RNAcentral is "partial 16S ribosomal RNA". It matches the Rfam family "Bacterial small subunit ribosomal RNA", at positions 28 to 507 of the family's 1533-position model. The record is from RNAcentral.